GGCUGGUCCGAAGGUAGUGAUGUUUACAAUUGAUUGCAGAUUUCUUUGUUCCUUCUCCACUCCCACUACUUCACUUGAACAGCCAUCC
Molecule: Y RNA, 88 nt
Filed under: Peromyscus maniculatus bairdii (prairie deer mouse)
Lineage: Eukaryota; Metazoa; Chordata; Mammalia; Rodentia; Cricetidae
Description: Y RNA (ENSPEMG00000004562.2)
Rfam family: Y RNA
About the family: Y RNAs are components of the Ro ribonucleoprotein particle (Ro RNP), in association with Ro60 and La proteins.
Source: Rfam by way of RNAcentral